RNAcentral lists this ribosomal RNA (433 nucleotides) under uncultured bacterium. RNAcentral describes it as "partial 16S ribosomal RNA". It matches the Rfam family "Bacterial small subunit ribosomal RNA", at positions 29 to 507 of the family's 1533-position model. The record is from RNAcentral.
AACGAACGCUGGCGGCAUGCCUAACACAUGCAAGUCGAACGAAGGCUUCGGCCUUAGUGGCGCACGGGUGCGUAACGCGUGGGAAUCUGCCCUUUGGUUCGGAAUAACAGCUGGAAACGGCUGCUAAUACCGGAUGAUGACGCAAGUCCAAAGAUUUAUCGCCAGAGGAUGAGCCCGCGUUGGAUUAGGUAGUUGGUGGGGUAAAGGCCUACCAAGCCGACGAUCCAUAGCUGGUCUGAGAGGAUGAUCAGCCACACUGGGACUGAGACACGGCCCAGACUCCUACGGGAGGCAGCAGUGGGGAAUAUUGGACAAUGGGCGCAAGCCUGAUCCAGCAAUGCCGCGUGAGUGAUGAAGGCCCUAGGGUUGUAAAGCUCUUUUACCCGGGAAGAUAAUGACUGUACCGGGAGAAUAAGCCCCGGCUAACUCCGUG